CAACUUAUCCAACUCUCAACAUGGUAUCAGAGCAUCAGGCUCUGCACCGACCACUAUCUCUCCAUCUCUGAACCCUCAUUUACCACCUUCCUCCAACAACCCCACAACCCCCAAGCUAACACAACGACCACCACAACCCAACCACCUAAUCAGGAAGUCUCCCAUGAUCCCAUCUUCCAGCAAAUCCGCAUCGUUUUGCCCACAUCAUACAACAUCAAUUCUCUCUUUCGAAAUCCCAUGAAUAAGAUAAACUAUAUCGGUUGGAAAUCGACCUCUCCCCGAUCAUCGACAAGCCUGGCCAAAAACCAGAGACAACUACCAGAGAAAGCAACUCCGAAUAUAAGAAGUGGGUCAAGUCAGACCAAUUGGUUCUCACCUGGAUAAGAUCCACGGUCUCUCCCUUUGUUCAUGUCAUGAUCCUUCACUGCGUCACCUCCAAGGAAGCAUGACUGCUACUCGAUUGCUUCCUCUCAUCGCUAUGUAGCAUUCACUUGAAAUCUCUCCGGACGAAAUUACGUGCUACCAAGAAGAAGGUUGACAUUACGAUGUCAGAGUACCUAAUGGAGGUACGAGCAACAGUUGACGCUCCGUGAGCUGUCGGUUCUUCCAUAGAGGAAGAAGAAAUUAUUGGCUACGUCGAGGAUGGGUUGGAUGAAACUUACGGAAACUUCCUUACACAUCUUCACUUCAACCCAACCACAUCCUUCGACGAAUUAGUCAGCCACCUUCUCCAAGAAGAAGAUUUACUGAAGAGAACAAGACCACCAGUAAACCCAAUAGCUUUCUCAGCUCAACAACACAACCCAACCACCACUACUCAACCGACGACAGGAAAUAUUGCAACGCCAAAUAACCAGUAACAGGGCAACUAUCACCAAAAUAAUUUUAGGGGAUGAUUCAGGGAGCGUGGUCGAUUCCGAAGAGGCCAGUUCAAUGGGGGACGUGACCGAGGACCAAAUCAAUACCCAAACUAUCACAGCUAUCCCCGCGCAUCAGUCUACAAUGCAACUCCACCCAACUACGUUACCCAGAGCACUUCUCGCCACCACUUCUCCCAACUCCAGCAUUAAUCGGAGAUCAAAUAUGUCAAAUUUGUAAUCAUGUCGGCCACACAGCACGGACCUACAACAAUCGUCGGAAUUUCGCCUACAAUACUCGUCUAAUCGGCGAUGACCUCAACUCAUUAUCGCUCAACAAUAACACGCCUUCAGUAGCCUCCGACAAUUCAUGGUGUCUCGACAGCGACGCAUUGAACUAUAUGACAUCGUCCCUCAACUCUUUCUCCGCCUCUCAACCUUACCAAGGUAAUGAUACCAUCAUGGUAGGUAACGGCUCACAAUUCCCCAUCCUAAGGCAGGGUACGAUUUCUCUCCCAACCUCUCUCGGCCGCAUCUCUGUCCCGAAUGUUCUCUAGGUACCCGUCCUACAUAAAAAAUUACUCUUAAUUCAUUCUCUAUCACAUGAUCUGAGCAUUGUUUUCUUUGAUGAUGUUGGGUUCACCGUCAAGACCAAGGACAUAGGGACUACUAUAAUGCAUGGCAGUAGCGGCCAAGGACUGUAUCACCUGGGCGAUUAAGAAACAGGCAUGCCUAGCAGCAAGCAAGCAUCCCCCUGUACGAGAGUAAACCCGGUGGUAUGGUAUACAUCAGGCACAACCGGUUCUAUCCAGUGUUUUAAAUGUUAUUUCCUCAAUUUCCGUUGAUCGUCGACCUUCGACUCUCCCCUUUUGUCAAGUCUGUUCUCUCAACAAAGCGAAGAAGCCAACAUUUCGUCAUCGCACUUACACAGCCAGAGAACCCUUGGAGAUCAUUCAUCUUGAUUUAUGGGGACCAACUCUAGUCAUCUCCAGGGAGGGAUUCAGAUACUAUAUAUGCUUGCAUAGUAGACGAUUUCUCAAGGUUCACCUGGUUCAUCCCACUCACUCUAAAAUCCGAAUUCUACUCAAAUUUUCUUAAUUUUUGUAAUUUUGUCGAACGAUCAUUCCCAUUUAAAAUCAAAACCAUUCAGUGUGAUGUUAGCGGUGAGUUUGUCAUCCACAACUUUCAAAAACAUUUGUUAAAGCUUGGAAUCCGACAACGGUUCUCCUGUCUGUACACACCUCAGUAGAACGACGUGGCUUAAAGAAAGCACGGACACAUCAGAGACGUUGGCCGAUGCUUUCUUCAUCAAACAUAUCACUUCCAUCAGAGUAUUGGGCAGACGUAUACUCGAGCGCCAUAUUCACGAUCAAUCACUUCCCAUCAACCACCACCUCCAACAAAUCACCCUAUGACCUUCUAUUCGAACGUACACCAGUCUACACGCUACAUCAUACAAUUAGGUGCCUAUGCUUCCCAAUCACACCCAAUUCACAGAGAACGAAGUUGCAAAACGUCUCCACCCGAUGUGUCUUCAUCGGCUACUCCUUUACACACAAAGGUUACAAGUGUAAGGACUUGUCGACUGGCAAAAUUACGGUCUCAAGGCACGUUCUCUUCGAUAAUAACACAUUUCCAUUCCAACAUACAACAACGAUAAACCCAAAACGAAGGACUGACACAGCCACAUUUCCGACAAUUGUCACCAAACUACUGCCUUCACCUACAAGGCUAUGCACGACGUGGGCGGACAACCCACAACAAUCAGAAAAUUACUGGCAAUCCUCAUCGGUUCACACACCAACAAACCAACAUCACUCAGAAGCAACAAAAGACGGUGAUUCAAAGAUCUGUCCGGAAGGCAGUCCCAAUUCCGGUACAAACACAAUUCAAAAAUCAAAUCUUCGUACCAACUCAGCCACUGAUCCGCCGGAUAUCAGUCAAGCAUACAACCCGAGAAAAAUCAGACAGAGCGGGAAGACCACCGACUUGACCGAAAGAUUACGACACAGGGUGCCAAAGCCGAACAAAGCGCCAAAAUCUGUCAGCUACAUUAAUGAAAUCAAAUGCAUUCGGGCUUCCCAACUACCGUGAAAUCGGGUCCCCCAAAUGCUAUUUGAUUGGGUUCCCUAAAACACACAACAAUAGAUCAGUAAAUAAAAGAUCGUGCGUGUUCCUCAGACCAAAUCCAUUCGUCUGGAUGUCAAAGAAACAACCGACGAUGUCGCGGUCGAGCGUUGAGGCUAAAUACAGGGUGAUUGUGCACGUAACGGUCGAACUCAAAUGGUUCUGCUCGCUUCUCAGGAAACUCAGAGUCUACUUACAAAAUACUCCGGUCAUCCACACCACAAAAUCGGCAAUUUUCAUGGCUACGAAUCCGAUGAUCCAAGUCAAGACGAGACACUUAGAAAUUGACUACCAUUUUAUCCGGGAAUUCGUCUUCCGAGGAGAUAUUCGUCUCAACUUUGUCAAAUCGGAAGACCAAACGACCGACAUGUUCACGAAAGCCUUACCGGCGUUACACUUCCAACGUCACCGGCAACAUCUAUGACUCACCGGCGUCGAGGGGGGUGUCAAGGAGAAAAACAUAAAUAACCCCAUAAGAGUCAGUCAGCAAAACAUAAAUCUUAUAAGAACAAACAGAGAAAUAACCCCAUAAGGGUUGGUAAACAAAUAACCCAAUAAUAAUCAUAUAUAAAUGAUCAAUGUAACAGUUUAUAAUCUACGAAAAUGUAUUACAGUUUUUCUCCGAUCACCCUCUUUCUCCGAUCUUCCGUUCUUCAACUUAUCCAACUCUCAACAGUCUUCAUCAGUGACCCAAACACCAAUGUCAAAUCUGGCGGUGGUGGUGCAACGACGGGACUAGUUGGUGGCGUGCAGUACCGGACCAUUGUGAGGUGCGGUACCUCGCUGUCGUCCAUCAGAUGUGAUUUGCGGUCCAUCCGGUGAUGGACCGCACCCAAUUUUCAGGUGCGGCGAACCGUACCUUGUGGUUUAGAUGAUAGUAGCGCGUGGAGUGGACUUAAAAUGAUUAAUAUGAUUCUUGGAACGACAGAGAAUAAGCUGCAAUAGAGGAGCAGUAUAUUCCAGUAGAGAGAUUUGUGUAAGGUAUAUCGACAGGAUUCCCAACGGGAGAAUGAGUUUUAGGAUUCAAAUAGUAGCAUAGCUAGUGAUUCAUGAGUUAUGUGAGAGUAUUGAUAGGGAUUCAUACAACGAUCUAGAAUACGUAUGUGAGAGUUAUGCGAAAGUUAUGUACUUAUGCGAGUUUCAGAAACUUUUUUUUUUAACAAAAAAAAAUAAUUCCAGAAACUAAAAUUGAGAAGAAACAAAAUUAAAAAAACUUGAUAAAAUCAAUCAAAUAAAAAUAACGUAGUCGAUAGAAUUUGAAACAAAAUUGAUUAAAAUCAAUGAAAUCAAGAAAAAAUCAAGAAAUCAAUGAAAUCAAGAAAAAAUAGUAGAUGAUCAAUGAAAUCAAUGGAGAAAAAAAAUUAUAUGGAAAAUAAAAAUAAAUUGCAAACCACAAUUGCUCCAAACCCUCCAUGAAUGUUCCUUGGAAAUCUACAAUCCAAUUUGCAAAUCACGCCAUUGGAUAUCGAUUCCAAAUCUGCAUCACUUGUCGUCUGCAAAUUGAUUUGGAGAACUGUAAAUCCCAAAUCACGUCUUCCGUCUUCAAUAAAACGGAAAUCAGAAAUUAGCAGAAAUCGAGCAACAGUGACAGAAAAUCGCGUCUGGAUCAAUUGAUCCGAAAUCAUUCUACGUUCUAGCAGAAAUCAAUUGAUCUGAAAAUCACGUCUUCUAGCAGAAAUCACGGCUUCCGUAUUCUGUUGAAAUCUGAAAUCGGAAGAAACCGUAGGAAAGAGAAAGCACGUCGUCGUCGGAAGUGAAUGGAGGUGGAUCGAAGAAUGGAGGCGGCGUCAAUUUCACCUUCACAGAAGAGAUACCAUCUUAGAAUCUCAAACGUUCUGCAAAGAUGAAUUUAAUCUCGAAAUGUAUAUUGCAUCAAUGAAUUGUAUUGUCAACUACAACUCUCUCUAUAUAGGACUCUUGCUAACCACUUAUCCUAACCAACCCUAACUAAUAUUCUAUUUAACAAGGUCAUGCUAUGAGUAGGACGAAAAGAAUAUGUCAAUAUUUACAGAGGUAGAUUUGGAAGGAAAAUAUGCGUGGUAAUGCAAUGGGGAGUAGAAUCGUAUAUUUAAUAACACGUUGGUAUGAAAAAGAUAUAAAACUAUUUCGACG
Molecule: long non-coding RNA, 5096 nt
Filed under: Zostera marina
Lineage: Eukaryota; Viridiplantae; Streptophyta; Magnoliopsida; Alismatales; Zosteraceae
Description: long non-coding RNA (ZMAR_LNC001833)
Source: RNAcentral